Molecule: long non-coding RNA, 1079 nt
Organism: Drosophila arizonae
Lineage: Eukaryota; Metazoa; Arthropoda; Insecta; Diptera; Drosophilidae
Source: RefSeq, a predicted model, not a curated record
UCAUUUUUUUGUUUUUGUAAUUUCUUAUUCAAGAUCUAAUGAUAAUUUCUUGGCGUCGGCACGUACCAAGCGUCAAAGGGUCCUGCAGCCGAAUGAUAUAUGAUAUAUAGUGUGGGUCAUAUGAUAAAUGGUUGUGUUUGGUAUGCAAGACUUCGACACGGACCGCACAGACAUUCUCCAAUGGACGCCGAUUCGCUCCAUGGAAAUCUGCAGCAGAGGGAAGUGAAUCGAGGGACUUUUUAUUCAGAUCGAAUCGCAAUGGAUCGGAACGGAUCGUAUAGUCAUGAUUACUUUAAUUAAAAUGCAAGUGCUGUUCGGGUAGGCAGGACGGGAGGCAGUGCUAAGUGCCGUCGGAAUAUUGAUCUUUCAGUUUGGGAUUAGGGUGGACUAGGUGCUGAUUUAGGGAUCGGCGUCGUAAAAGCGAUGCCAAGUUCUUUAUGCGAUCGGUGCAUAAAAUGCGAAAUCUGGAUUACGCCAAUAUAGAACCCUAAUAAAAAGGAAUGCGCGAAGUGUUGCGUCUGAUUGGGUUUUCCCACGGCCGGACAGGCAGGCAGGCAAGCGGGCAAGUGGGCAGGCAGCCGAGGCUGAGGCGAUGGCGGACGGACGCACGGACGGAGGGACAGACGAAGGAUCGCUUGGGCUACCUUCGCGCAAAGUGCGGAACUGAAGGAAACAAAACGCCGCGAACCAAGCGACGGAUUGUGCACUAAGUUGCUUAAUCCGACGGGAAAUCCAAAACAAAUGCCGCCGGAUGGUGUGCGCGACUGUGGGUAGCAGUGUGUGCAUGUGUGUGUGCGUGUGUGUGGUUAUAUUUGGCUACAGCUUGGCUUUCGCAUCGAUCAGUUGCCAAAGUCGAGGUCGCACUGUAUACAAGCAAAGCACACACACACACGCAUAACUUAUAGAGAAUCGCAUGCAUGCUCGCGCAUGUGUGUGUGUGUGCAUGUGCCAAUUGUCGGUUGGUUCAUUUUGGAGCUGGUGAACUCAUCAGCACAACGAGGAAGGGGGCCACAGUGCAGCUUCUGCAUAUGCUGCUAAAAACACAAAAAAAAGUAAACAGCAAAAAAAAAAAACAUCAU